This is a long non-coding RNA of Lemur catta (Ring-tailed lemur), 359 nucleotides long. RefSeq lists it as uncharacterized. Lineage: Eukaryota; Metazoa; Chordata; Mammalia; Primates; Lemuridae. The transcript has 3 exons. The record is from RefSeq and is a predicted model, not a curated record.
ACCCCCCGCCCCACCAGCCUCCUGGGGCCCCACACCCAGCAGUCACUCACCACUGGAAGUAAAGGAACACCUGGCCCACCUGUAGGGAGACCGGCUAUCAGGGGGCAGGAGUGUGUGUCUGCAGAGCCAGGAGGCCCGCCCAGCUUCCUAGGACGGGACCUCCCACGCCCCUCCGCUCCAGGGAAGCAAAGGCGAACAUGAAGACGGCGGCCACGCCCUGGAGGAAGAGCUGCCGCGGGAGCCUGGAGCCCGCCAUGUCCGCUACGCGGCCGGCUGGAGCAGAGCCCGCGGGUCCCGCGGCCCCGCCCGCGGCAUCCUGAGCCCCGCCUCCGGCGGGCCCAAGCCCCACCCUCAGCAGA